UACGGAGGGUGCAAGCGUUAAUCGGAAUUACUGGGCGUAUAGAGUUCGUAGGCGGUUUUAUAAGUCAGAUGUGAAAGCCCUGGGCUUAACCUAGGAAUUGCAUUUGAUACUGUUUAACUUGAGUUUAAGAGAGGAAAGGGGAACUUCCGGUGUAGCGGUGAAAUGCGUAGAUACUGGAAGGAACACCAAUGGCGAAGGCAACUUUCUGGCUUAAAACUGACGCUGAGGAACGAAAGCGUGGGGAGCAAACAGG
RNAcentral lists this ribosomal RNA (253 nucleotides) under uncultured bacterium. RNAcentral's name for it is "partial 16S ribosomal RNA". It matches the Rfam family "Bacterial small subunit ribosomal RNA", at positions 524 to 776 of the family's 1533-position model. The record is from RNAcentral.